GGGUGCGUAGCUCAGAGGGAGAGCGCUUCCUUCACACGGAAGAGGCCACAGGUUCGAUCCCUGUCGCACCCACCA
Molecule: transfer RNA, 75 nt
Filed under: Kosmotoga sp.
Lineage: Bacteria; Thermotogati; Thermotogota; Thermotogae; Kosmotogales; Kosmotogaceae
Also listed under: 3 other names
Description: tRNA-Val
Rfam family: tRNA
About the family: Transfer RNA (tRNA) molecules are approximately 80 nucleotides in length.
Source: RNAcentral